RNAcentral lists this long non-coding RNA (211 nucleotides) under Capsicum annuum. RNAcentral describes it as "long non-coding RNA (CANN_LNC004771)". Lineage: Eukaryota; Viridiplantae; Streptophyta; Magnoliopsida; Solanales; Solanaceae. The record is from RNAcentral.
GGGCAAUGAGAGUUAAGUUCGAAUGAGUCACUUUAGCCAAAAGAAUACCCUCACCUAGCCUGAAGCCUUAUUACAAGCCUAGAAAAGACCUGUUUGACCCUAGCGAAUCAACUUUGAGGGUGUGUUAAAUGGCAAAGGCAAGUCUAUAGGUACCUGCACUGUGCUUGUAACUUCUUUGAUGAGCGUGAGAGUUUAGAUUGUGUCCACAUAG